UGACUACAAGACUUGUAACGUGCUGG
RNAcentral lists this non-coding RNA (26 nucleotides) under Homo sapiens (human). Lineage: Eukaryota; Metazoa; Chordata; Mammalia; Primates; Hominidae. The record is from RNAcentral.